Molecule: ribosomal RNA, 1597 nt
Filed under: metagenome
Description: bacterial LSU rRNA
Rfam family: Bacterial large subunit ribosomal RNA
Source: RNAcentral
GGUAUGAGUAGCGAGAGGCAUGCGAGAAACAUGCCCGUCGAAAGCCCAAGGUUUCCUGGGGAAGGUUCAUCCGCCCAGGGUAAGUCGGGGCCUAAGCCGAGGACGGAAGUCGUAGGCGAUGGACAGCAGGUGUAGAUUCCUGCACUACCGAUGGAAUGAAGCAGUGACACAGAAGGAUAACUCGAGCAGGGUGAUGGUCAACCCUGUGCAAGCAUCAAGGUUGGGUUGUAGUGAAGUACGCAACCCUAUAAGCUGAGGUGUGAUGCGGACCGAAAUUUCAGUAGGGAAGCGAGUGAGUUCACGCUGGCGAGAAAAGCUGCUAGUACAUCCAAAGGUACCCGUACCGGAAACCGACGCAGGUGGGCGAGGAGAGAAUCCUGAGACGAACGGGAGAACCCUUGUUAAGGAACUCGGCAAAAUGACCCCGUAACUUCGGGAUAAGGGGUGCCUGCGAGAGCAGGCCGCAGAGAAUAGUCACAAGCGACUGUUUAGCAAAAACACAGGUAUCUGCGAAAGCGAGAGCUGACGUAUAGGUGCUGACACCUGCCCGGUGCUGGAAGGUUAAGGGAACAUGUUAGAGCAAUCGAAGCAUCGAACCGAAGCCCCAGUAAACGGCGGCCGUAACAAUAACGGUCCUAAGGUAGCGAAAUUCCUUGUCGGGUAAGUUCCGACCCGCACGAAUGGUGUAACGACUUGUGAGCUGUCUCAACAGGGGGCCCGGUGAAAUUGAAGUAUGGGUGAAGAUGCCCAUUACCCGCGACUGGACGGAAAGACCCCGUAGAGCUUUACUGCAGCCUGAUAUUGAGUUUCGGUAACUGAUGCACAGGAUAGGUGGGAGUCUGAGAGACAUGGGUUUCGGCUCAUGUGGAGACGGUGUUGGGAUACCACUCUUCGGUUACUGAAAUUCUAACAUAGCUCUGUGAAACCAGAGGAUGGACAGUGUCAGGUGGACAGUUUGACUGGGGCGGUCGCCUCCGAAAGAGUAACGGAGGCGCCCAAAGGUACCCUCAGAAUGGAUGGAAACCAUUCGAAGAGCGCAAAGGCAGAAGGGUGCCUGACUGCGAGAUUGACAAAUCGAGCAGAGACGAAAGUCGGGCUUAGUGAUCCGGCGGUAUUGAGUGGAAAAGCCGUCGCUUAACGGAUAAAAGCUACCUCGGGGAUAACAGGCUGAUCUCCCCCAAGAGUCCACAUCGACGGGGAGGUUUGGCACCUCGAUGUCGGCUCGUCGCAUCCUGGGGCUGAAGCAGGUCCCAAGGGUUUGGCUGUUCGCCAAUUAAAGCGGCACGCGAGCUGGGUUCAGAACGUCGUGAGACAGUUCGGUCCCUAUCCAUCGUGGGCGUAGGAGUCAUGAGAGGAGCUGUUCCUAGUACGAGAGGACCGGAAUGGACGCACCACUGGUGCAACUGUUGUCGUGCCAACGGCAUAGCAGGGAAGCGAAGUGCGGAUGGGAUAAACGCUGAAGGCAUCUAAGCGUGAAGCCCACCUCAAGAAUAAGACUCCACAAUAGACCCCUGGAGGACUACCAGGUAGAUAGGUCAUCGGUGGAAGCGCUGUAAGGCGUGUAGCUUGAUGAUACUAAUCGGUCGAAAGCUUCAGU